UACAGAGGGUGCGAGCGUUGUCCGGAAUCACUGGGCGUAAAGGGCGCGUAGGCGGCUCGGUCAGCGUGCGGUGAAAGCCCGGGGCUCAACCCCGGGUCGGCCGUGCGAACUGCUGGGCUGGAGCACUGUAGAGGCAGGUGGAAUUCCGGGUGUAGCGGUGGAAUGCGUAGAGAUCCGGAAGAAUACCGGUGGCGAAGGCGGCCUGCUGGGCAGUAGCUGACGCUGAUGCGCGACAGCGUGGGGAGCAAACAGG
RNAcentral lists this ribosomal RNA (253 nucleotides) under uncultured bacterium. RNAcentral describes it as "partial 16S ribosomal RNA". It matches the Rfam family "Bacterial small subunit ribosomal RNA", at positions 524 to 776 of the family's 1533-position model. The record is from RNAcentral.